RNAcentral lists this transfer RNA (88 nucleotides) under Micromonospora echinaurantiaca. RNAcentral's name for it is "tRNA-Ser". It matches the Rfam family "tRNA". Rfam says of the family: Transfer RNA (tRNA) molecules are approximately 80 nucleotides in length. Their secondary structure includes four short double-helical elements and three loops (D, anti-codon, and T loops). Further hydrogen bonds mediate the characteristic L-shaped molecular structure. tRNAs have two regions of fundamental functional importance: the anti-codon, which is responsible for specific mRNA codon recognition, and the 3' end, to which the tRNAs corresponding amino acid is attached (by aminoacyl-tRNA synthetases). tRNAs cope with the degeneracy of the genetic code in two manners: having more than one tRNA (with a specific anti-codon) for a particular amino acid; and 'wobble' base-pairing, i.e. permitting non-standard base-pairing at the 3rd anti-codon position. RNAcentral also lists the same sequence under 2 other names. The record is from RNAcentral. Lineage: Bacteria; Bacillati; Actinomycetota; Actinomycetes; Micromonosporales; Micromonosporaceae.
GGAAGGGUGGCCGAGCGGUCUAAGGCACCUCCCUGCUAAGGAGGAGCGGGCUGACCCGUCGCAGGUUCGAAUCCUGCCUCUUCCGCCA